Long non-coding RNA from Sapajus apella (tufted capuchin), 4412 nucleotides. RefSeq lists it as uncharacterized. The transcript is spliced from 2 exons. The record is from RefSeq and is a predicted model, not a curated record. NCBI's taxonomy places the organism in Eukaryota, Metazoa, Chordata, Mammalia, Primates, Cebidae.
GCUAAUUUUAUGUUUUUAUUUUUAAAGACACGGUCUUGCUGUGCUGUCCAGGCUGGUCUCAAACUCCUAGCCUAAAGCAAUCCUCUCACCUAAGGCUCCCAAGUAGUUGGGAUUAUAGUCGUUAGCAACCGAACCUGGCCCAAAGUCCCUUUUAAAUUGGACUUUAUAAUAUUUUAAGAAAAUUAUGGAGUACAGUCACAUUGAGAGUUUGAUCUGAAUAGAGUCUUUAUCACCAAAUGAUAAACCUUUCUGAAAGAAUGACAGUGCUAUUUGACAUUUGGUUAAAUGUCAGGCCUUUGAUUAUGUCUAAAAACUGAAUACAUAAAGUAUAGUGUUUGCCAAUAUUAUUUAUAAAGCAAAGCAUCUUUUUUUUUGUCCUCUUUCCAUUAAUUUUUGUGAAAAGGUUAUGUAUUUUGUUUGGGGAAAACUUUUAUUCUGGUUUUCUGCUUAUGAUUUUCUGUGCUGUUUUGCUAAUCUCUUUACUUCAGUACCUAUUGUAUUAGUGUGCUUAGUACAAUAAUACAUAUUUUAAAAAAUCACAAUAGAACUGAUUACCCCUAAAUUUGAGGGGUUUUUUGUUUGUUUGUUUGCUUAUCAUAAGAUAACAAAAAAUGUUUUCAACAGAAAUUGGGUAUCUUAACUCUCAAGCCUAAUUUUCUUUUGUCUGUUGAGGGCUUAAUCUAUUUAACCACAGAGAGCUUGUCAUUUAAAUUAUAGCACAUGGCUCUUUUUUUGAGGUAGAAUGUGUAGAAUCCUUUGCUGUUUCAAAAUUUCAUCUUGAAGAAUUGACAUACAAGUUGUGACGAAGAAAUGCUUUUAAUAGUUUAUUGUAGGGAGAUGUAAAAGUUUUCUCUCACAAAAUUGUCAUGUUAAGGAUAGGAUUUCAAGACGGAAAGCAUCCUGGAGAAAAGAUGGAAGCUUUGAGGUUUAUCUCUUUGUAACAGUGCCUUUGUGUUUUUACUUUGAAAUUUCUUUGUGCAGUGAAAUAUGCUACCUUUGUAUUUGUGCUUUGGUAAGAUUCUGGACUAUUUGCAAUUGUCUGUGAAAGUCCAAAGAGAAUGAGAAUAAAUUUUGUGAAAUUAUCUCAUUCCCAGUCUGGCACUCCAUGUGCCCUUGUGUGGCUGCUGAUUCUGCGGGCAGAUUGAAGUGCUGAACCAACUUCUGCUCUAACUGCUAAAAUUGCCAGCCAUAAUUCCAAGCUUUUAAAUCUUGUUGUUCACAUCAAUGAUGUCAAAUUUUGAGCAAACAUAGCUCUGUCUUUAAAUCCCAGUGGAAUUUGCAAUUCCCUGGAUUGAAAGGCAAGAGUUCCUCCUUUUUGCCUUUGAAAAACUUGAGUGGCUGUGCAGGGAAAGUCAGCAGAAUAAAUCUGCAGCCUUGCCGUGUCCUUUGAGUCAUUGUAGAAAGCUGAGUGCUCUGUUCGGCAUUCAGCAGAUUGGCUGUCAGAGUUGCAGCGCUGCCUAUCAAAGACAUGGUCUCUCAAAGAGCCAUUUAUGUUAUUCCAGAGAGAACCAUCCUGUCGCAAAAGGAACACCUCCUUUCCCCUCCCAAGGGUCAGAUCUUCUUUUGAUACUGGGCAAUUAUCCCUUGCUUUUCCUGAAAAAUAGCUCAAUCCACUAUAAAGAUUGGCACCAGCACAGGUUGCUGACUUGGUUACAGUGACAAGCUCUGAUUCCUUAGCCACAGGGAGAGGCAUCAGGGUGAUACUCGAAAGUAUGCCAGAGGCUUAAUGGGGGUGAUUUUUCUGCUGAGAAAUUCAGUGUCCCUUAUAAGUGUCUUGGCUUCUGUUCUCUUUCUCUGAGGGAAAUAAAUUUAUUUUAGUUGUUUGCACACCAGUCACUAUAAAAUGCCACUGUGUGGUUGUCUUUCCAUCCUUCACUUCCUCAAGCUUCUUUCCUGUCUUUAGUUACUGUCCUUUAGUUACUGUUUGAGAUCAAGCCCUACAGUCUUAAUUUUUUACAUUUUUACAUCCUUUUUAUACAGCUUAUCUUGGCUCUUAUUAGUCUUUGUACCUGGUGGGGAUUAUUAAUCAGUGUUUCCUCUAUUAAAAAUAAUUAAUAGACUAUUUUUUAGAACAGUGGUAAGUGUACAGAAAAAAUUGAGUGGAGAGUACAGAGAGUUCCCAUAUACCUCCUCACUCCACCCCUACCCACGGUUUCCUUUAUUGUUACAUCUUGCAUCAGUGUGCUAUAUUUUUUACAGUUGUUGAGCCAACAUUGAUACAUUAUUAUUAGCUAAAGGCCAUAGUUGUCAUUAGUGUUCACUGCCUAUACAUUCUGUGGGGUUUCACAAGUGUAUCUACUAUAUGUGUAUCACAUACAUAUAUACCAUAUAUGUAUCACAUAUGUAUCUACUAUAAUAAUACCAUAGACCGGGAGUGGAAUAGUCUCACUGCCAUAAAAAUCUUUUGUGCUCCACCUAUUCAUCCCACCCUCCUGAACCCCUGGUAACCACUGAUCUUUUUACUGUCUCUGUAGUUUCACUUUUUCUAGAAUGUCAUGUAGUAGGAAUCAUAUAGCCCUCUAAUUUUUUAAAAUUGUGAGUAGAUAAGCAUGUAACUAGAAAUUGUUAGGAAAAAAAAGGGAGAGAAAAUUAGAUGUGGGAGGUUCCACAGCUCCAAGUUCUACCUAAAACUCCAAGCAUUUAUCCAGGGAGAUGUAGGUGGCCAGCCUUUCCUCUUCUCUGCUGGGGGUCUGUCUGAUGUUAUAGGAAUUAGCUUGCCUAGUGACAUUUUAUUGAUUCUAGGUGUUAGGAGCAAGGACAAGAUGAACACUGAAUGGGCUGUAUCUGGGGAAUCAAGGUAUUUGGAUUGAGCAAAAGGAAGUAGAGCAUUUGAUUCUUUUUCCUUUGAUUAGGUUGAGUACAAUAACAUCUCCUUCUCUCCCUUCUUCCCAUGGGCAGCUUUAUAUGUGAUUGAAGAAGAUCAGUGCAAAGAUUCCCCAUCCAGAAAUAAACUUUUGUACUUCUACACUAAUUAAAGAUUCAUGUAAAUUAUGAAGUUUUUGGAAAACUAUGGAGAACUCUGUGGGGGCUAUCAUUCACACUUCAGUAUGAAUUGGUUUAAUGACAACUGUGAUAUUGCUACCUAAAGAAAUGGAUGUUUUUAUUUGGGGCUAGGGGAUCACAGAUGUAGACUGGCAUAGGUAGAAUGGUCCCUUAGCAAAGGAGAUAUUGAAGUUUAUGAAGAUGUAAAAGAUACACAGAUUUACUUUUGCAUUUUAUUUUGGGCUAUCUCAGCUUCUUUUACUAGAAGUUCAUGCCUGUAAUCCCAGCACCUUGAGAGGCCAAAGCAGGAGGACUGCUUGAAGCCAGGGGUUCAAGAUGAACCUGGGUAACAAAGCGAGACCCUGACACUACCAAAAAAUAAAAAUAAAAAAUGAAGCUACUUGAGAAGUAUAAAUGUUAAGAAUAGCCCAGAUAAACACUGGAACCAAUUUAAUUUGGAAAGAAAGAACCAUUUCCUCCUUUACCCACUCUGGAAAAUUUCAGUUGAUAAAAUAUAGGGGAAGGAGAAGUACUGAUUUCUUUAGUUCUAGGACUCAUGCUUCCUGUCUGCUUAGAACUCUAGCUCCUUGGUAUGGAGUAGUAUCUUUUUUUUCGUAGAGAUAAUAUCUCUUUACCCUCUAUAUUUGACUAAAUAUAAGAAUAUGCUAGUCUUGGAUCAGUUACUUUCUUAACUUGUCAGACUGAACUAACUCUGUGGUAAAGUGAACAUUAGCCUAGAGAAGGUUCUUAGCAUGAUGGUCAGGGUUAACAUCAGUUAGUGCAUAUUAACAGGUAAUGUAUGCAUACAUACAUACACAAUUUAGAGGAAAUAUAUUUACAUUAGGUAUGGCAAAAUGAUCUUUCCAUCCAGAAAGCAUACAGGGAAGGGAGAGAAUAAAAUACAGUGAAAAUUAUUUGAUUUUAUUGAUACAACAGCAGCAAUAAUUAUAGCUCACUGAGCUUAUGUCAUGUACUAUGCCAAAGUACUUUACAGGGAUGUUUUAUUUAAUCCUAGCAACCUCUGAGGGAGAAUUACCAAGGAGAAAACUAAGGCUCAGAGAACUAACUUGUACAGGGUUACUCAGUAUUUUGUGAUGGAGUUGUAACACGAACCCAGAUGGUUAGACUCCAGACCAGCACUCUUAACUACUCUGUUAAAUUCUUCCUUAUUAUUUUUCAGUAUGCACAUCUAGCCUAGAAAAAAAUGAAUAAGUAAUUUUUUUGGAUAAUGGUCCAAAUCAGUCAACUAAGUAUUUGAUAUAGUUUGUUACUGAUCUAUAUAUCUAGCUGUCAUACCAAAGAGAGCUAAGCUAAAUCUGUAGCUGAGCUGUGCCUGUGGGGGGGAAAAAUGUGUAUAUAUAUAUAUAUAUAUAUAUAUAUAAAUUCUUAGGAAAAGGAAGAAAUCUUUCUGCAGCUGCCUCAGCCUUAAU